This is a long non-coding RNA of Aethina tumida (small hive beetle), 603 nucleotides long. RefSeq lists it as uncharacterized. NCBI's taxonomy places the organism in Eukaryota, Metazoa, Arthropoda, Insecta, Coleoptera, Nitidulidae. The record is from RefSeq and is a predicted model, not a curated record. The transcript is spliced from 4 exons.
UAGAAUGUUGUUUAUUUAAAUUGUUCAAUAAUUGAAUUUAAUGUAAAAUUUUUCUUAAUUCAUUUCAUUUUUGCUGGUCAGUUAUUAUUGCAAAAUUUCAUAAAGUUCUUAUACAGCAGUUGUAAUAAUUACAUUACGGUUUUAGGUUAGAUGACCUCUUGAAGAGAUGUAUCUUUAAGGAUCCCCAAUGCAAAAAAUACUUCCAGCAUUUAACCAAGAAAUUUAAAAGCUUCCCACCAUGUUGAAAGUUCCUUAGGGCAAAUGAAAAUUUAAACUGGCAUGUAAUGACAUGAAAUGUAUGAGGAAAGGGUAUGAAAUGAAUCAGAAAUGUAAAUAUAAAAGCAUUCAACCAAGAUAUAACUUUCCACCAAGUUUUAAGUUCCUUAGGACAAAUGAAAAAUUAAAUUGCCAUGUUAUUUUAUGAGGAAAGGAAAUAAAAUGAAUCAGAAACGUAAAUAUAAAAGUUACAGGCAGAUGUCUAAAGAUGUGCCAAAAUAUCUUCAAUGGAGUAUUGCAACUCUACAAUAACAUGCCAAAUAAGACAAUCUCUAUGAUUGAAGAUGCAGGAAAAAGAAAACCGACUGAAGAGUUUUAUGGAAUUGA